This 49-nucleotide non-coding RNA is filed under the name Roseomonas sp. CECT 9278. RNAcentral describes it as "mini-ykkC". It matches the Rfam family "Guanidine-II riboswitch aptamer (mini-ykkC)". Rfam says of the family: Simpler in structure and has fewer highly conserved nucleotide positions than the ykkC-yxkD leader. Despite this each of its two stem-loop structures directly bind free guanidine. Therefore, mini-ykkC RNA motif represents a distinct class of guanidine-sensing RNAs. The record is from RNAcentral. Lineage: Bacteria; Pseudomonadati; Pseudomonadota; Alphaproteobacteria; Acetobacterales; Roseomonadaceae.
CGCCGGGGACGACCCCGGCGCAUGUCGCGAACCGGCGGGGACGGCCCUG